Molecule: long non-coding RNA, 426 nt
Organism: Salvia splendens (bonfire salvia)
Lineage: Eukaryota; Viridiplantae; Streptophyta; Magnoliopsida; Lamiales; Lamiaceae
Exons: 3
Source: RefSeq, a predicted model, not a curated record
CGCCGCCGCCACUGUCAUCUACACCAGCAUCUUGUAUUUUGAAUUUAGACAAAAAAAUAUGAGAAAUUGGCAAUGAUCUUGUUGAUGCAGGUGGAUGGCAGCAACCUUGGUUGAUUUCUAUAUCAAUAUCAUGUGGAUAAUCUACACUGGAUUUCCUCACUUGUUUGGAUGGUUUUGCUUAUAUGCUUUGGAAGCAUCAGCACAUGUUUGUACGUCGUUUUGCAGUUCCGAAAGCUCACUCCUCAUGAAUCACAGUUAGAUCCCAUCUACUUUGUUUUGCUCAGAAAUAAGAAAAGGUAAGUUUGUGUUUGAUGAAAUCCUGUGUGUGAUAGGUUUGGGUGGCAUUAUGGAUCAUUUUGUUGAUAUGCUUCGGAAGGUACGAGGCUUCUCCAGUUAGGGUUAGGUGUCGGAACGGUUAUAAAUCAA